This 667-nucleotide ribosomal RNA is filed under the name Triticum aestivum (bread wheat). Its description in RNAcentral is "partial small subunit ribosomal RNA". Lineage: Eukaryota; Viridiplantae; Streptophyta; Magnoliopsida; Poales; Poaceae. The record is from RNAcentral.
GCCACGCGAGGGCGGUGCGACGAAGGAAACAAAAAGAGAGACAAUAGAAAUCAGGGAUCUUAAAACCUUGCCGGUCCACGCUCACCAAAGACCUGCAGAACCUUCACUCGAGCAGGGCAGAGAGAUGGCGAACGACGGCUUCGCGGCUGAGCUGGGCUGAGGCAGCUGCGUGGCCCACGCGGUGGACGAACUGGCGCUCCUCUCCGUCAUCCUCCCGACGGCAGGUGAGGCAGGAAGGCGGCGGAUUCGGAUAUCACGGCGCAACCUCCCUACUACUCCAGCUCGCGCGUGGCGGUGUGCAUCACGGCCUGAGAUGGAGACCCGGAUGCUGGCCGGGAGGGAAGGCGCAACAGUCGGAGAGCGUGGCCGACGAGCUGCAGCUGGAGGCACUCGGCUUGGAGGCGCGGUCGAGCUGGGGAGGGGAGAGAGCCCAGCGAGCGGGGAGGCGGAGCACGCUUGCGGGUGUAGAGACUAGAGAGAGGGGGCGCCGGGGAAGGGAGAGCUGGCCGACGGCGACGGGGUUCUUGCAAGCGAGAGGAGAGAGGAGAAGGGAAUCGAUGGAGGCAAACGGGGUCUCGGCCACAGGUUGGAGAGGAGCGGCGUGGGGCUUAUCCCCUCGCAUGCGUGUGUGGCCUGGGGCUUAUCCCCUCGCGUGCGUGUGUGUGGC